UUAUAACUUUUGCGUGAGGGAUCGACGUGGAAAUCCUUUGGGUUGGCGCGAGGCGGCGGAGCGAAGCGGAGCCGUCCGAGCGUCAACCUCAAAGAUUGAAACAAAGAGCCCGACCCGAG
RNAcentral lists this small RNA (119 nucleotides) under Soonwooa buanensis. Its description in RNAcentral is "Flavo-1 RNA". It matches the Rfam family "Flavo-1 RNA". The record is from Rfam by way of RNAcentral. Lineage: Bacteria; Pseudomonadati; Bacteroidota; Flavobacteriia; Flavobacteriales; Weeksellaceae.